UACGGAGGGUGCGAGCGUUUGUCCGGAAUCACUGGGCGUAAAGGGCGCGUAGGCGGCGCGGAUAGUCGGCGGUGAAAGCCCGGAGCUCAACUCCGGGUCGGCCGUCGAUACUUCCGGGCUUGAGCACUGUAGAGGCAGAUGGAAUUCCGGGUGUAGCGGUGGAAUGCGUAGAGAUCCGGAAGAACACCGGUGGCGAAGGCGGUCUGCUGGGCAGUUGCUGACGCUGAUGACGCGACAGCGUGGGAGCAAACGAGGAU
RNAcentral lists this ribosomal RNA (257 nucleotides) under uncultured bacterium. RNAcentral describes it as "partial 16S ribosomal RNA". It matches the Rfam family "Bacterial small subunit ribosomal RNA", at positions 524 to 779 of the family's 1533-position model. The record is from RNAcentral.